This is a long non-coding RNA of Otolemur garnettii (small-eared galago), 784 nucleotides long. RefSeq lists it as uncharacterized. Lineage: Eukaryota; Metazoa; Chordata; Mammalia; Primates; Galagidae. The record is from RefSeq and is a predicted model, not a curated record. The transcript has 2 exons.
ACUAGACCAGGUUUCUGUGCCAUUGUUUGUUUUACCAAAGGUGAACCCGGGCUGGUUAGGCCACUGAAAAUCAGCUCACAGCAGGAGCAAAGAACCCUUCAGCUCACCGGGAAGCACAGAAUGUCUGCGUCUCUGAAAUGCUUCCAGAACAGAGGGAGCCUUGUGCAAGCCCCAGAACAGCUGGCCUUCCCAGCGGUUUGCCGCCCAGUCCAGAGCCCCUGGAGCUGCCCCGCAGGCGAGAUGCCCAGAGGGAGAGUGAGGCCACCACAACCCCUCCAUCAGAGGCUUUUUGCGAGGACAGAUGUGCUGCACAAGAGAAGCACUGGGGAGCCCACAGCAAGCCCAGUGACGGCCACACAGCCAGAGGGUGCGGCCUUCCUGCCUGGCAUCUCAGCACCAGCCACACGUCACAGCAUGCUCAUCUGCCCUGUGCAUGCCUGAGAGCACACCGACAGCCCCUGGCCUUCCACGGCCAAUCACUAGCCUGCACAGGGCCCAACCUCCUCCUGGAACCAGGGUGUUCUAUCUGGGGAUGGGGGACUGGGGCUUGGGGGGCUCAUUGACAUCACCUUCGUGUGCCCUAAAGUGGCUCUUGGUCAUCCUCAACCAGGAAUCCACAGCCCCUAGAGUCCUCAGCCCUUAGACAGACUUCAGGGGGAAUAAAAGCCCUCAAACUCUAUGCUACAUGGAGUUGUGGAGGUGUGACAGUGAACAUUUUGGAAGAGUCCAUCUUUGUUACCCUUCUCUGCUUUAUUUUCUUAAAAGCAUUUAAUUCACUCUGUAA